Triticum aestivum (bread wheat) is the source of this 116-nucleotide non-coding RNA. Lineage: Eukaryota; Viridiplantae; Streptophyta; Magnoliopsida; Poales; Poaceae. The record is from Rfam.
UAACUACUCCCUCCGUUCGGAAUUACUUGUCUUGAAAAUGGAUGUAUUUAGAACUAAAAUAUGUCUAGAUACGUCCAUCUCCGAGACAAGUAAUUCCGAAACGGAGGAAGUACCAC